CUGAAUAUAAACAGUUUAGGUGCCCUAAAAGGGAUAAUAGGGAAAGUGGUGAAAAUCCAUUACAGCCCCCGCUACUGUAGACGGCAACGAAGCUAAUUCCACUGGACUUGUCUGGGAAGGAUGGUAGAGGUUAUAAGCCGUGAGUCAGGAGACCUGCCUAGUACUGUAUGUAAAA
Molecule: non-coding RNA, 175 nt
Filed under: Clostridiales bacterium
Lineage: Bacteria; Bacillati; Bacillota; Clostridia; Eubacteriales
Source: RNAcentral